This 611-nucleotide ribosomal RNA is filed under the name uncultured bacterium. RNAcentral describes it as "bacterial SSU rRNA". It matches the Rfam family "Bacterial small subunit ribosomal RNA", at positions 92 to 690 of the family's 1533-position model. The record is from RNAcentral.
CGAGCGGCGGACGGGUGAGUAACACGUGGGUAACCUGCCCAAGAGACUGGGAUAACACCUGGAAACAGAUGCUAAUACCGGAUAACAACACUAGACGCAUGUCUAGAGUUUGAAAGAUGGUUCUGCUAUCACUCUUGGAUGGACCUGCGGUGCAUUAGCUAGUUGGUAAGGUAACGGCUUACCAAGGCAAUGAUGCAUAGCCGAGUUGAGAGACUGAUCGGCCACAUUGGGACUGAGACACGGCCCAAACUCCUACGGGAGGCAGCAGUAGGGAAUCUUCCACAAUGGACGAAAGUCUGAUGGAGCAACGCCGCGUGAGUGAAGCAGGGUUUCGGCUCGUAAAGCUCUGUUGGUAGUGAAGAAAGAUAAGGGUAGUAACUGGCCUUUAUUUGACGGUAAUUACUUAGAAAGUCACGGCUAACUACGUGCCAGCAGCCGCGGUAAUACGUAGGUGGCAAGCGUUGUCCGGAUUUAUUGGGCGUAAAGCGAGUGCAGGCGGUUCAAUAUGUCUGAUGUGAAAGCCUUCGGCUCAACCGGAGAAUUGCAUCAGAAACUGUUGAACUUGAGUGCAGAAGAGGAGAGUGGAACUCCAUGUGUAGCGGUGGAAUGCG